AUUGAACGCUGGCGGCAUGCCUUACACAUGCAAGUCGAACGGCAGCACGGGUGCUUGCACCUGGUGGCGGGUGGCGAACGGGUGAGUAAUACAUCGGAACAUGUCCUGUAGUGGGGGAUAGCCCGGCGAAAGCCGGAUUAAUACCGCAUACGAUCUACGGAUGAAAGCGGGGGACCUUCGGGCCUCGCGCUAUAGGGUUGGCCGAUAGCUGAUUAGCUAGUUGGUGGGGUAAAGGCCUACCAAGGCGACGAUCAGUAGCUGGUCUGAGAGGACGACCAGCCACACUGGGACUGAGACACGGCCCAGACUCCUACGGGAGGCAGCAGUGGGGAAUUUUGGACAAUGGGCGAAAGCCUGAUCCAGCAAUACCGCGUGUGUGAAGAAGGCCUUCGGGUUGUAAAGCACUUUUGUCCGGAAAGAAAUCCUUGGCUCUAAUACAGUCGGGGGAUGACGGUACCGGAAGAAUAAGCACCGGCUAACUACGUG
This 486-nucleotide ribosomal RNA is filed under the name uncultured bacterium. RNAcentral describes it as "partial 16S ribosomal RNA". It matches the Rfam family "Bacterial small subunit ribosomal RNA", at positions 30 to 507 of the family's 1533-position model. The record is from RNAcentral.